This 199-nucleotide small nuclear RNA is filed under the name Ananas comosus (pineapple). RNAcentral's name for it is "U2 spliceosomal RNA". It matches the Rfam family "U2 spliceosomal RNA". From Rfam's summary of the family: U2 is a small nuclear RNA (snRNA) component of the spliceosome (involved in pre-mRNA splicing). Complementary binding between U2 snRNA (in an area lying towards the 5' end but 3' to hairpin I) and the branchpoint sequence (BPS) of the intron results the bulging out of an unpaired adenosine, on the BPS, which initiates a nucleophilic attack at the intronic 5' splice site, thus starting the first of two transesterification reactions that mediate splicing. The record is from Rfam by way of RNAcentral. Lineage: Eukaryota; Viridiplantae; Streptophyta; Magnoliopsida; Poales; Bromeliaceae.
AUACCUUUCUCGGCCUUUUGGCUAAGAUCAAGUGUAGUAUCUGUUCUUAUCAGUUUAAUAUCUGAUACGUGGGCCAUGUGCCCACCUCGAUAUUAAAUUAAUUUUUAUGUGGGGGAGGGCCCACCCACAGUAGCUUGCUACUGGGGCCCUCGCGCGUCGCCCUUGCAUUGCACUACUGCUCGGGCCUGGCGCACCCCUA